Molecule: ribosomal RNA, 399 nt
Filed under: uncultured bacterium
Lineage: Bacteria
Description: bacterial SSU rRNA
Rfam family: Bacterial small subunit ribosomal RNA
Source: RNAcentral
AUUGAACGCUGGCGGCAUGCUUUACACAUGCAAGUCGAACGGCAGCGGGGGCUUCGGCCUGCCGGCGAGUGGCGAACGGGUGAGUAAUGCAUCGGAACGUACCCAGUCAUGGGGGAUAACUACGCGAAAGCGUAGCUAAUACCGCAUACGCCCUGAGGGGGAAAAGCGGGGGAUCGCAAGACCUCGCGUGAUUGGAGCGGCCGAUGUCGGAUUAGCUAGUUGGUGGGGUAAAGGCCUACCAAGGCGACGAUCCGUAGCGGGUCUGAGAGGAUGAUCCGCCACACUGGGACUGAGACACGGCCCAGACUCCUACGGGAGGCAGCAGUGGGGGAAUUUUGGGACAAUGGGGGCAACCCUGAUCCAGCCAUGCCGCGUGAGUGAAGAAGGCCUUCGGGUUGU